This 217-nucleotide unclassified non-coding RNA is filed under the name Hevea brasiliensis (rubber tree). The record is from RNAcentral. Lineage: Eukaryota; Viridiplantae; Streptophyta; Magnoliopsida; Malpighiales; Euphorbiaceae.
CACUUAUAGAAGUGGGAAGUGGAGAACAGAGAAGCUUCAUGUAUGAUUUGGUGGGAAAACUUGUGCCUUGGUAUUUCAACUUCCCACCUAUGAUGCUUCUUCCUUACAAAGCUUUCUUUCUAUAUGCAGUAUAGGGACUAGUUGCAGGGGAUCAUAGCUAAAAGACUAAUUAUCAGCUAAAAUAAGGUUCUUACUUGUGAUCAGUGACAGAAGUCAG